Molecule: long non-coding RNA, 900 nt
Filed under: Olea europaea (common olive)
Lineage: Eukaryota; Viridiplantae; Streptophyta; Magnoliopsida; Lamiales; Oleaceae
Description: long non-coding RNA (OEUR_LNC002602)
Source: RNAcentral
CUGGAUCCAUCGUUGGGUGCUUGGGUUGUCCAACAUGUAUUUCACAUAUUUAGAAGUAUGGCGACCCAAUUUACAUAGAAUGUGAAAAGGUAACUGAAUUUAUUCUCAACACUAUUUUCCUAAUUUUUUGUUGACAUAUAUAACAUAUGCUUGGCAACCAUAUGCCUCCUAUAGUGCUGAAUAAAAGACAUUAUUCUAUUUGACAAAUUGAGAAAAUUUAUUAGGGUCGUGUUGUGUAAAGCAAUCAUACCAACGGAGAUCAAGGCCUAGCUCAAGUUUUAGAAAGGAAAAUUUCUGCAAUGCUGAAAGGUUGCUCUCCUGCUGCUUUGUUCAUGGCCAGCCCUUUUCGUUUAUGUUCGUACAAAUUAGACCCCUGACUAGACGGGUCAUUAAUAUACACAACGUACGUCUAUGUAGCCUCCAGUUGGCCAUGUGCCUUUGCACAUUUUAGCAAAUACCUAAUCAGGUCGCCCGUGCUACUACUAGAUCUCCAACUUAAAUUAUUUUAUAGUUUGCAGUACCUCUUCUCCAUUGACCUUUAUAACUUUCUUCAUUUUAGAAUGUUGCGAAACUAAAGAUUUUUUUUAUGUUCUCCAGCUACUCAAGGCCUUUUUGUACGGGGUCUAAACUCAAUUUCUGCCUUGCAGACCACCAGGUCUGGAGGUGAAGGCUAGCAAGACUUGCCACAUACCAGGCCAGCCUACGGUCCAAUUUUAACUCUUGUCCACUUUGGCACCUCGAGAACAAUCUAUAUCAAGAUAAAUUAGAUAAUUCUUACAUAAAAUCGAGUCUAUAAGUUCAAGAAAACAUAAAGAUGGACUUUUGUAUGUCUUCCAAAACUGAUUUCGAUGUAUCAGAAUGGAGGAGAAAGAGGAUUCCCGGCCACGCCGCAAAAAACCC